AACGAACGCUGGCGGCAUGCCUAACACAUGCAAGUCGAACGAGACCUUCGGGUCUAGUGGCGCACGGGUGCGUAACGCGUGGGAACCUGCCCUUAGGUUCGGAAUAACUCCCCGAAAGGGGUGCUAAUACCGGAUAAUGUCUUCGGACCAAAGAUUUAUCGCCUUUGGAUGGGCCCGCGUUGGAUUAGCUAGUUGGUAGGGUAAAAGCCUACCAAGGCGACGAUCCAUGGCUGGUCUGAGAGGAUGAUCAGCCACACUGGGACUGAGACACGGCCCAGACUCCUACGGGAGGCAGCAGUGGGGAAUAUUGGACAAUGGGCGAAAGCCUGAUCCAGCAAUGCCGCGUGAGUGAUGAAGGCCUUAGGGUUGUAAAGCUCUUUUACCCGGGAUGAUAAUGACAGUACCGGGAGAAUAAGCGCCGGCUAACUCCGUG
This 433-nucleotide ribosomal RNA is filed under the name uncultured bacterium. RNAcentral's name for it is "partial 16S ribosomal RNA". It matches the Rfam family "Bacterial small subunit ribosomal RNA", at positions 29 to 507 of the family's 1533-position model. The record is from RNAcentral.